GCCGGCGUAGCUCAGUGGUAGUAGCACUCGUUUCAUAAGCGAGAUGUCACAGGUCCGAUCCCUGUCGCCGGCA
RNAcentral lists this transfer RNA (73 nucleotides) under Candidatus Staskawiczbacteria bacterium CG10_big_fil_rev_8_21_14_0_10_38_10. RNAcentral's name for it is "tRNA-Met". It matches the Rfam family "tRNA". From Rfam's summary of the family: Transfer RNA (tRNA) molecules are approximately 80 nucleotides in length. Their secondary structure includes four short double-helical elements and three loops (D, anti-codon, and T loops). Lineage: Bacteria; Candidatus Staskawicziibacteriota. The record is from RNAcentral.